GAUGAACGCUGGCGGCGUGCCUAAUACAUGCAAGUCGAGCGAACAGACGAGGAGCUUGCUCCUCUGACGUUAGCGGCGGACGGGUGAGUAACACGUGGAUAACCUACCUAUAAGACUGGGAUAACUUCGGGAAACCGGAGCUAAUACCGGAUAACAUGUUGAACCGCAUGGUUCAACAGUGAAAGACGGUCUUGCUGUCACUUAUAGAUGGAUCCGCGCCGCAUUAGCUAGUUGGUAAGGUAACGGCUUACCAAGGCAACGAUGCGUAGCCGACCUGAGAGGGUGAUCGGCCACACUGGAACUGAGACACGGUCCAGACUCCUACGGGAGGCAGCAGUAGGGAAUCUUCCGCAAUGGGCGAAAGCCUGACGGAGCAACGCCGCGUGGGUGAAGAAGGUCUUCGGAUCGUAAAACUCUGUUAUUAGGGAAGAACAAAUGUGUAAGUAACUAUGCACGUCUUGACGGUACCUAAUCAGAAAGCCACGGCUAACUACGUG
Molecule: ribosomal RNA, 497 nt
Filed under: uncultured bacterium
Lineage: Bacteria
Description: partial 16S ribosomal RNA
Rfam family: Bacterial small subunit ribosomal RNA
Source: RNAcentral